Molecule: ribosomal RNA, 443 nt
Filed under: uncultured bacterium
Lineage: Bacteria
Description: partial 16S ribosomal RNA
Rfam family: Bacterial small subunit ribosomal RNA
Source: RNAcentral
CCUACGGGUGGCAGCAGUGGGGAAUAUUGGGCAAUGGGCGCAAGCCUGACCCAGCAACGCCGCGUGAAGGAAGAAGGCUUUCGGGUUGUAAACUUCUUUUCUCAGGGACGAAGAAAGUGACGGUACCUGAGGAAUAAGCCACGGCUAACUACGUGCCAGCAGCCGCGGUAAUACGUAGGUGGCAAGCGUUAUCCGGAUUUACUGGGUGUAAAGGGCGUGUAGGCGGGAAAGCAAGUCAGUUGUGAAAACCAUGGGCUCAACCUGUGGACUGCAUCUGAAACUGUUUUUCUUGAGUACAGGAGAGGCAGACGGAAUUCCUAGUGUAGCGGUGAAAUGCGUAGAUAUUAGGAGGAACACCAGUGGCGAAGGCGGUCUGCUGGACAGCAACUGACGCUGAGGCGCGAAAGCGUGGGGAGCAAACAGGAUUAGAUACCCCAGUAGUC